GAUGAACGCUGGCGGCGUGCUUAACACAUGCAAGUCGAACGGAAAGGCCCUGCUUUUGUGGGGUGCUCGAUUGGCGAACGGGUGAGUAACACGUGUGUAACCUGCCCUUGUCUUUGGGAUAACUUCAGGAAACUGGGGCUAAUACCGGAUAGGAGCUCCUGCUGCGUGGUGGGGGUUGGAAAGUUUCGGCGGUGGGGGAUGGACUCGCGGGUUAUCAGCUUGUUGGUGGGGUAGUGGCUUACCAAGGCUUUGACGGGUAGCCGGCCUGGGAGGGUGAACGGCGACAUUGCGACUGAGAGAGGGCGCAGACUGGUACGGGAGGCAACGGUGGAGAAUAUGGCACAGUGGGCCGACGCGUGAUGCAGCGACGCCGGGUGCGGAAAGACGGCUUUCGGGUUGUAAACAGCUGUCGACUGUGACGAAGCGUGAGUGACGGUAAUGGAUAAAGAAGCACCGGCUAACUACGUG
RNAcentral lists this ribosomal RNA (468 nucleotides) under uncultured bacterium. Its description in RNAcentral is "partial 16S ribosomal RNA". It matches the Rfam family "Bacterial small subunit ribosomal RNA", at positions 28 to 507 of the family's 1533-position model. The record is from RNAcentral.